This 263-nucleotide ribosomal RNA is filed under the name uncultured bacterium. RNAcentral's name for it is "partial 16S ribosomal RNA". It matches the Rfam family "Bacterial small subunit ribosomal RNA", at positions 793 to 1055 of the family's 1533-position model. The record is from RNAcentral.
GUCCACGCCCUAAACGAUGGGUACCAAGUGUCGGCGGGUUACCGCCGGUGCCGCACCUAACGGAGUAAGUACCCCGCCUGGGGAGUACGGCCGCAAGGUUGAAACUCAAAGGAAUUGACGGGGGCCCGCACAAGCGGUGGUGCAUGUGGUUCAAUUCGACGCAACGCGAAAAACCUUACCCAGGCUUGACAUGUUCGUGGUAAGAGCCGGAAACGGUGAUGACCCUGAAAGGGGAGCGAGCACAGGUGCUGCAUGGCUGUCGU